This is a long non-coding RNA of Heterocephalus glaber (naked mole-rat), 887 nucleotides long. NCBI's taxonomy places the organism in Eukaryota, Metazoa, Chordata, Mammalia, Rodentia, Bathyergidae. The record is from Ensembl.
GGUCCUUGUGCUUGCUGGGCAGGUGGCAGAACCACUGAGCUAAAUCCCCAGCCCUGAAUGUCUUUUCUUCAUUCCUCACUGUUCUCCCUCCAAGGAUCUUCGAGCUGAGCAGGACACAGCAGUUGGCACCUGAAACAGGCAGACUAUGAGACAAAUAACAUUUUCAGUCCAGAGCCCAGCACUGAAAAGAUAACUGGGCUAAAAAGACAGGCAAUAUUUUGGAUCUGGGCCUCCAAAGUCAAGAAAGAUCCAGGACAUGAGGGAACCUUUUCUACAAAUCCUACAUUUUUGGGUCUUGCUAUGAAGGUCAGGCUGGCCAUGAACACACUACACACCCCAGGCUGGCCUCAAACUCACAGCGAUCCUCCUGCCUCAGCCUCAUGAGUGGUGGGAUUACAGGCUUGAAAUGUUUGUCUUUGUGUUUUAGGGAUAUUUCUUGUAAAGCAUAUAGCUGGACAUUUAAAACAUACAACCUUAUGUCUUAUCACUUAAUAGAACAUUUAUUGUGAUUAUUGAUAAUUUUAGUUGUGUGUGUGUGUGUGUGUGUGUGUGUGUGUGUGUAUGGUGCAGGGGAUUAAACCCAGGGCCUUGUGCAUACUAAGCAUGUGCUCUACCAGUAAGCUAUAGCCCCAGCCCAAUUUUAGCUUUAUUUCUACAAUCAGUUGCAUUCUGAUUUCUGGUUUUUCUGAUGGGAAGUCUGUUGUCUAUAUAAUUGUUCUUUUCAAGUAACUUGUUUUUUACAGUCUGAUUUCUCUUAAGAUCUUUUGUAUGUGCUUGUGUUUGUAGAUAUUUUGCAGAUUUAUUUCAGAACAUCUAGGAGGAUGUUUAUGUUUAUUUUUAUUUAUCCUGUUUAGGAUUUUUUGUGAUUUCAAAAUGUGUGGAUUGGA